Molecule: ribosomal RNA, 497 nt
Filed under: uncultured bacterium
Lineage: Bacteria
Description: partial 16S ribosomal RNA
Rfam family: Bacterial small subunit ribosomal RNA
Source: RNAcentral
GAUGAACGCUGGCGGCGUGCCUAAUACAUGCAAGUCGAGCGAACAGACGAGGAGCUUGCUCCUCUGACGUUAGCGGCGGACGGGUGAGUAACACGUGGAUAACCUACCUAUAAGACUGGGAUAACUUCGGGAAACCGGAGUUAAUACCGGAUAAUAUAUUGAACCGCAUGGUUCAAUAGUGAAAGACGGUUUUGCUGUCACUUAUAGAUGGAUCCGCGCCGCAUUAGCUAGUUGGUAAGGUAACGGCUUACCAAGGCAACGAUGCGUAGCCGACCUGAGAGGGGGAUCGGCCACACUGGAACUGAGACACGGUCCAGACUCCUACGGGAGGCAGCAGUAGGGAAUCUUCCGCAAUGGGCGAAAGCCUGACGGAGCAACGCCGCGUGAGUGAUGAAGGUCUUCGGAUCGUAAAACUCUGUUAUUAGGGAAGAACAAAUGUGUAAGUAACUAUGCACGUCUUGACGGUACCUAAUCAGAAAGCCACGGCUAACUACGUG